Molecule: long non-coding RNA, 231 nt
Organism: Oncorhynchus masou masou (cherry salmon)
Lineage: Eukaryota; Metazoa; Chordata; Actinopteri; Salmoniformes; Salmonidae
Exons: 3
Source: RefSeq, a predicted model, not a curated record
UGACUAUCAACCAGACUACUCAAAUGCUCCUGCCAGCAAGACCCCAGUCAGGAGUCAGAAUGGGAGGUUCACGGGUGAAGACCACUGGGGUUCUACUCUGUCUGUGUUACUGUAUCAACACUGGAAUUUCAGAUGAUCUCUCUGGUCCAAAGUGUGGUCUUCCACAGAUCAGGAACCUCCUUGACCGCUCUUUGAGAAUCGUUGGAGGGUUGGAGGCAAGAUAUGGAUCCC